This 205-nucleotide long non-coding RNA is filed under the name Mytilus galloprovincialis (Mediterranean mussel). The record is from RNAcentral. Lineage: Eukaryota; Metazoa; Mollusca; Bivalvia; Mytilida; Mytilidae.
CAUUUGCGCUAAACGUAAAGAUUGAUAGAUUAUUUGUGUUUUACAUCAAAGCAGCCAUUCUAAGGGAACGAUCAUUUAACUUUAAAAAAAGGGGGGGGGGGGAUUAAAAUAUUCUGUUCAAGCAAAGGACAAAAAAUUAAUUCUAAAUCCAGAUUUCCUCCAUACCUGAUAUAAAAAAAAAGAUAUGGUAUCAUGCCAACGAAAC